Molecule: ribosomal RNA, 468 nt
Filed under: uncultured bacterium
Lineage: Bacteria
Description: partial 16S ribosomal RNA
Rfam family: Bacterial small subunit ribosomal RNA
Source: RNAcentral
GACGAACGCUGGCGGCGUGCUUAACACAUGCAAGUCGAACGGAAAGACCCUGCGUUUGUGGGGUUCUCGAGUGGCGAACGGGUGAGUAACACGUGAGUAACCUGACCUUGACUUUCGGAGAACUUCACGAAACUGGGGCUAAUACCGUAUAGCAGCUCCUGCUCCAGGGUGGGGGUUGGAAAUUUUCGGCCUUGGGGGAUGGACGCGCGGGUUAUCAGCUUGUUGGUGGGGUAGUGGCUUACCAAGGCUUUGACGGGUAGCCCGCCUGAGAGGGUGACCGGGGACCAUGCGCCUGCGAUAAGGACCAGUAUCGUACGUGCGGCAGCAGGGGGGAACCUUGCCCAAUGGGACGACGUCUGAUGAAGAAACGCCGCGUGCGUAAUGACGGCCUUUGGGGUGAAAACAGCUUUAGCCUGUGACGCAGCGGUAGUGACGGUAACGGAUAAAGAAGCACCGGCUAACUACGUG